Molecule: ribosomal RNA, 440 nt
Filed under: uncultured bacterium
Lineage: Bacteria
Description: partial 16S ribosomal RNA
Rfam family: Bacterial small subunit ribosomal RNA
Source: RNAcentral
CCUACGGGUGGCAGCAGUAGGGAAUAUUGCUCAAUGGGGGAAACCCUGACGCAGCAACGCCGCGUGGAGGAUGAAGGUUUUCGGAUUGUAAACUCCUUUUGUGGGAGAAGAUUAUGACAGUAUCUCACGUAUAAACGCCAGCUAACUCCGUGCCAGCAGCCGCGGUAAUACGGAGGGUGCAAGCGUUACUCGGAAUCACUGGGCGUAAAGAGUGCGUGGCCGGGGUAAUAAGUCAGAUGUGAAAUCCUGUAGCUUAACUACAGAACUGCAUUUGAAACUGUUACUCUGGAGUGUGGGAGAGGUAGGUGGAAUUCUUGGUGUAGGGGUAAAAUGCGUAGAGAUAAAGAGGAAUACUCAUUGCGAAGGCGACCUGCUGGAACAUUACUGACGCUGAUGCACGAAAGCGUGGGGAGCAAACAGGAUUAGAUACCCUAGUAGUC